Molecule: long non-coding RNA, 1527 nt
Filed under: Anas platyrhynchos platyrhynchos (common mallard)
Lineage: Eukaryota; Metazoa; Chordata; Aves; Anseriformes; Anatidae
Description: lncRNA (ENSAPLG00000024074.1)
Source: RNAcentral
GAGUGAGAAAAUGGUUGUGGUAGAGUUUAGCUGCCCAGCAAGGUAAAACCACCACACUGCUACCAGCUAUAGCUGAGUGACCUUCCCAUCAGCUGUUCUGCUGACAUCUGUGAAAACUGCUGUGAUUUUUUUUUUUUUUUUUCAUUAUGGAUCUAGAUCUCUCCUCAUGUCCCCACUACAUACCAGUCCUGCUUCUGGUAUCUGAAUUUCUCCUUUGGUAGCAGCCAGAGUGUUCUCCCAUACUCCAUUAAAACAGGAUCUGGUUUGUUCAGGUCGUUCCCCACUGUGUGUCCUCUGAGCUUUGUCAGCUUCUGUCCAGCCCUUCAUUUGAGGACACAAAGUUUUCAUGUUUUGGAUGCUGUAGCUCACGUAAUUUGCUCAUCUAUAUUUGUUGGAUUUUCCCCGGUCUUUGUUUAAAAUGUGCUUCCUUUUAAUGUCAGCAUACGGGUUCUGUUUUAGUAUUAAGCCUCUCUUGCUUUAGAUGGAGCCUGUGCUUCCUGUACAGCCCCCUGGUGCUCUCUGAGUUGCCCAGCUCCUGAUGUACACUACUUCUGUACACCACUUUCUCCGUUACACUCUGCAACUCUUGCAGUCUAUCUGGUCCUGUCUGAGGGACCAUGGAUGCCAGGGACAAGUUGUUCCAGGAUUUUCCACUUUAGGUUUUGUUACUGUCGAUGCAAUUUCUUCUUUCUGACCUCAUUCCUUCCUUUGCCUCAGACCUCUUGUUGAAUAGACCUGAGAAUUCAAGCACGUCUUUCCAAGAACAUCAGACUGGGUGGCUAUCAAGAUUUUUAAGGAUAGCAUUCCUUGGUACCGACAGCAUCUCCAGCCCUUUGGCUUGCAGCAGGGAGCAGCAUUCCCUCGAGGAUGGAGCUGUGUGGUACAGCAGCGAGCAGCAUGCGCGCUGUCUUCGUGCUUCUGCAGCUGGGUGAGUCCCCAUCUGCUCUGGGAAAACACCCUGCUGAUGCUUACAGACUUCCCACAGGCCUCACAGCAUUUGGGGUGUUUUUAGGCUCCUCACAAUUUGUCAUCAUGGGCAGGGAGGGGUGGUAGCAACCCAACAUGUAGCUGGGACAACGUUGACAUAAAAGACAAGACCACCAGCUGGGGAAGAUGUUGUGCCAUUCAAGGUUCACAGAAGCUGUAUAAAUGUGAAGAAAUGUUUGAUAAGGAAUUUGUCCUCGGGGCAGAGCCAUUUCCUGAGCCAAAACCAGCCCAGGUCCCACAUGCUGAGCACAGGGUGCAAAACACUGCCUGGGCAAAAACUUGUGCAUUUCUGAUCAUAGAUUUGAUGUUACCAGCUUGCUCAGUUUGACUGCUAAUGUUAUUGCAAUUGGAGAACUUUUUAGUGCUCUUUUCCCCAUAAUGGAAGGUGACUGAACAAGGCCAAAUCUGCAUUUCUAAAAUACUCAGCUGUGAUUCCUCUGGUAGCAGUGAAAAGUCUGAAACUCUUUUAUGCACCCUAAAGCCAAAAGUAUGGCAAAAGACAUCAAGAUACUCAUAUUAAUAAAGUUUAUAAUUUCUCCA